RNAcentral lists this ribosomal RNA (494 nucleotides) under uncultured bacterium. Its description in RNAcentral is "partial 16S ribosomal RNA". It matches the Rfam family "Bacterial small subunit ribosomal RNA", at positions 28 to 507 of the family's 1533-position model. The record is from RNAcentral.
GACGAACGCUGGCGGCGCGCUUAACACAUGCAAGUCGAACGGAAAGGCCUGCUUUCCCUUGUGGAUUGCGGGUACUCGAGUGGCGAACGGGUGAGUAACACGUGAGUGAUCUGCCCCCAACUUGGGUAUAAGCCUGGGAAACUGGGUCUAAUUCCCGAUAGGACUGCAGGGUGGUGCCUGUGGUGGAAAACGAUUUUCUAGUGGUUGGGGAUGAGCUCGCGGCCUAUCAGCUUGUUGGUGGGGUAAUGGCCUACCAAGGCGGCGACGGGUAGCCGGCCUGAGAGGGUGGACGGCCACAUUGGGACUGAGAUACGGCCCAGACUCCUACGGGAGGCAGCAGUGGGGAAUAUGGCACAAUGGGCGGAAGCCUGAGGCAGCGACGCCGGGUGGGGGAUGACGGCCUUCGGGUGGUAAACUCCUUUCGACCGCGAGGAAGCCACCUGGUUGGAAGGGUGGUGACGGUAGUGGUAGAAGAAGCACCGGCUAACUACGUG